This 492-nucleotide ribosomal RNA is filed under the name uncultured bacterium. Its description in RNAcentral is "partial 16S ribosomal RNA". It matches the Rfam family "Bacterial small subunit ribosomal RNA", at positions 29 to 507 of the family's 1533-position model. The record is from RNAcentral.
AGUGAACGCUGGCGGUAGGCCUAACACAUGCAAGUCGAACGGCAGCACAGUAAGAGCUUGCUCUUACGGGUGGCGAGUGGCGGACGGGUGAGGAAUACAUCGGAAUCUACUUUUUCGUGGGGGAUAACGUAGGGAAACUUACGCUAAUACCGCAUACGACCUACGGGUGAAAGCAGGGGAUCUUCGGACCUUGCGCGAUUGAAUGAGCCGAUGUCGGAUUAGCUAUUUGGCGGGGUAAAGGCCCACCAAGGCGACGAUCCGUAGCUGGUCUGAGAGGAUGAUCAGCAACACUGGAACUGAGACACGGUCCAGACUCCUACGGGAGGCAGCAGUGGGGAAUAUUGGACAAUGGGCGCAAGCCUGAUCCAGCCAUGCCGAGUGGGUGAAGAAGGCCUUCGGGUUGUAAAGACCUUUUGUUGGGAAAGAAAAGCAGCAGGUUAAUACCCCGCUGUUCUGACGGUACCCAAAGAAUAAGCACCGGCUAACUUCGUG